RNAcentral lists this ribosomal RNA (2893 nucleotides) under Candidatus Thorarchaeota archaeon. Its description in RNAcentral is "23S ribosomal RNA". It matches the Rfam family "Archaeal large subunit ribosomal RNA". Lineage: Archaea; Promethearchaeati; Candidatus Thorarchaeota. The record is from RNAcentral.
GGCCAGUGGUGGAUGACUUGGUUGGUUAGCCGAUGAAGGGCGUGACAAGCAGCGAAAUGCCGCGGGUAGACGCACGAAGUCUUUGAUCCGCGGAUCCCCGAAUUGGACUUCCUUGCACGGGUUAAUACCCUGUGUAGAUCCAGGGUCGCUCCUGGAUUGGGAACGCUCGGAACUGAAGCAUCUUAGUACGGGCAGGAAGAGAAAACAACAGUGAUUCCCUGAGUAACAGCGAGCGAAAGGGGAAAAGGCCAAACCGAAUCUUAGUGCGAAGAGUACUUGGAGAUGUGGUGUGCGGACCAUAGACAAUUGCCCACUCACCUAAGCCGAAGUCGUCUGGGACGACGUGGCACAGAGGGUGACACCCCCGUAGGCGUAAAGUGAAGGCAUGUCUGUGGAUCCCGAGUAGCACGGGUUGGUAAUCUCGUGUGAACGUCGCAGUUACAGUCUGCGAAGCCUAAAUACUCAACCAAACCGAUAGUAAACUAUGUAGCGCGAGCGAAAGUUGAAAAGCGCCGCGGAAGCGGGGUGAAAAGUACCUGAAACCAUUGGUCUACUCAAAGGAUGCUGAUUACAAGAGGAGAUGCUCGGGGAACGAGGCGUGAGUGAUUGCGUAGUAGGACUCGAGCGGAUCGAAUCGGCAUCAUCCGUCUUGAAACACGGGCCAGGGAGUUCAUGAGCGUGGCGAGGAUAAGGUGACAAACCGUAAACGAAGGGAAACCGACAUGCCCGCAGCCUUCGGGUGAGGGGCGGCGUGUGAAAGCGCGCGAAGUCACUCUCAUGACACGAGAAACCAGUCGAUCUAGGCUUGGCCAGGGUGAAGCCGGGCGAAAGCUCGGUGGAGGCCCGAAAGGGUUCUGACGUGCAACUCGUUCCGUUGAGCUGAGCGUAGGGGUAAAAGGCUUAUCUAGACUGGUGAUUGCUCGUUCUCCGCGAAGUUGGUCGCAGCCAAGCUCUGCUUGAGGUAUCAUGUGGUGUAGAGCACUUUCGGACGUGCUCGGGGGACGUCAAGUCCUUCACCGUCCUGAAAACUCCGAAGCUGCAUGAACCGUAGACGGCAGGAGACGGGUGCCCGGGGUAAGCCCGGCAGGCCGAGAUGGGGAGAACCGAGAGUAUGGUUAAGGUCCCUAAGUGCCAGAUAAGUGCGGUGAAGAAGGGCGUCGAGAGCCCAAGACAGUCUGGGGGUGAGCUUAGAAGCAGCUAUCCCCGAACGAAAGCGUAACAGCUCACAGACCGAGGCUCUCGGCCUUGAAAAUGGACGGGGCUAAAUCUGACCACCGAGACCAUACGGCACGCGGGUAACACUGCGUGAUCCGGUAGCGGAGCGAUCCGGUUGGGUAGAAGUGGGGCCGUGAGGUCCUGUGGACCGACCGGAUUUGAUGAUCCUGGCAGUAGUAACAGCGAAGCAUGGUGAGAAUCCAUGUCACCGAAAGGGAAAGGGUUCUUCGGCAAUGCGUCGUCAGCCGAAGCUUAGUCGAUCCUAAGUGGCGUCGUAACACGAGCGUCACGAAAGGGAAUCAGGUUAAUAUUCCUGAACCUUGGAGAUACGUCACGCGGCAACGCAAAGCCGGACUUGUGACUCAUCUGGACACACCGAGUACGAUUCUCUUCGUAUUUAACACCAUAAGCCUGUCGAGUACCGUAAUGGUGAGACACAGGCGAAAGGUGGAAUAGCAGGUGGUCGGACACCUGUUCGGUCUAUUCCUGGUGACCAUGAAAAACGAGUCCGGAAGAAUUCUCCGAGUCCGUACCCAGAUCUGACACAGGUUCCCUGGCUGAGAAGGCCAAGGUGUAUCAGAGUCAACCCUCCUGAGGGAAAUCGGCCAAUUAGCGGCGUAACUUCGGGAUAUGCCGUGCCUGGGUUAGUGCAAGCUUUCCUAGGUCUUAGCAACUAAGGGGUCCCAACUGUUUAAUACAAACAUAGCUGACUGCGAGCGCGUAAGCGUUAGUACAGUCAGUGAAUCCUGGUCUGUGCCCGUAUGUUAACACUCCGGAAGGGGUCCAAGCACGGGUUAACGCCGGGACUAACUAUGAGUCUCUUAAGGUAGCCAAACGCCUUGUCGGUUAAAUGCCGACGUGCAUGAAGGGAGCAAUGAGGUCCCCACUGUCCCCAGGAGUGCUCUGGUGAAACUACACCCAAGCGAACAGGCUUGGUAGUGCUAAUGGGAAGAGAAGUCCCUGCGGAGGUUUACUACGCAGCCUGUCGUUGCCAUCUCUGGGCACAUACAGAGCGUAGUCAGGAGCGUCGAACCACAGUCUCCGGGCUGUGGGAAUGCGACCAUGUAACACUGACUAUGUGUCUGGGGGUGGCUAACCUAGACCAAGUGAGUCUAGGGACACCGUCAGGUAGGCAGUUGGGCUGGGGCGGCACAGGGCUGACAGGAGAUCAGCCCUGACCAAAGCUGAGCUCAGAGGCGACAGAAACGUCUCGUUGAGAUUAAGGGCAUAAGCUCGGCUGACGGGAUCCCGCAAAGCAACGGAUCCCGAGACGAAAGUCUGGCCUAGCGAACUCCAACUGGCCCAUUGUGAGUGGUUGGAAUGACAGAAAACUUACCCCAGGGGUAACAGAGUUGUCGCGCGCUAGAGUUCCUAUCGACCGCGCGGCUUGCUUCCUCGAUGUCGGCUCUUGGUAUCCUCGGAUUGCAUAAGGUCCGAAGGGUGCGGGUGCUCACCGAUUAAAACCGAACGUGAGCUGGGUUUAGACCGUUGCGAGACAGGUUGGUUUCUAUCUAUUAGCACUGUUGAAUGGUUGCCGGUAAGAUGAUGCCGGUACGAGAGGAACGCAUCGUCGCGGCCAAUGGUGUACCGAUUGUCCGAAAGGGCAUUGUCGGGUAGCUAAGCCGUAACGGAUAACAGCUGAAUGCAUCUAAGCUGGAAGCCGGACCGUAAAACUAGC